AAGUCCCGCAACGAGCGCAACCCUUGUCUUAUGUUGCCAGCACGUGAUGGUGGGGACUCGUAAGAGACUGCCGGGGUCAACGUCGGAGGAAGGGUGGGGACGACGUCAAGUCAUCAUGCCCCUUAUGUCCAGGGCUUCACACAUGCUACAAUGGCCAGUACAGAGGGCUGCGAGACCGUGAGGUGGAGCGAAUCCCUUAAAGCUGGUCUCAGUUCGGAUCGGGGUCUGCAACUCGACCCCGUGAAGUCGGAGUCGCUAGUAAUCGCAGAUCAGCAACGCUGCGGUGAAUACGUUCCCGGGCCUU
Molecule: ribosomal RNA, 304 nt
Filed under: uncultured Rhodococcus sp.
Lineage: Bacteria; Bacillati; Actinomycetota; Actinomycetes; Mycobacteriales; Nocardiaceae
Description: bacterial SSU rRNA
Rfam family: Bacterial small subunit ribosomal RNA
Source: RNAcentral